This 845-nucleotide ribosomal RNA is filed under the name uncultured bacterium. RNAcentral's name for it is "bacterial SSU rRNA". It matches the Rfam family "Bacterial small subunit ribosomal RNA", at positions 55 to 895 of the family's 1533-position model. The record is from RNAcentral.
AUGCAAGUCGAACGAUACGGUCGAUUGGGUAACCGAGAGAUCGUAUAGUGGCGAAAGGGUGAGGAAUAGAUAGGUAACGUACCCCGUGCUUCGGGAUAGCGUUCCGAAAGGAACGGUAAUACCGGAUAAUAUCAGUGAUUGCAGGAUUGCUGAUCAAAGAUUUAUCGGUGCGGGAGCGGCCUAUCUCCUAUCAGCUAGUUGGUGAGGUAAUGGCUCACCAAGGCGAUGACGGGUAGCGGGACUGAGAGGUUGACCCGCCACAUCGGGACUGAGACACUGCCCGGACCUCCACGGAGGGCUGCAGUAACGAAUAUUGGGCAAUGGGCGAAAGCCUGACCCAGCGACGCCGCGUAUAGGAUGAAGUUCUUCGGAAUGUAAACUAUUGUCAGGGGCUCGAAAGCCGUAAGGUUGAUCAGCCCCAGAGGAAGUCACGACUAACUUCGUGCCAGCAGUCGCGGUAAUACGAAGGUGACAAGCGUUAUUCGAAAUCACUGGGCUUAAAGGGUGCGUAGGCGGAAAUGUAAGUGUCUUGUGAAAUACCUUGGCUUAACCAAGGCAUUGCUCGGCAAACUGCAUUUCUUGAGGCAAGCAGGGGUGUGUGGAACUCUUGGUGGAGCGGUGGAAUGCGUAAAUAUCAAGAGGAACGCCGAAGGUGAAGACAGCACACUGGGCUUGUCCUGACGCUGAUGCACGAAAGCGUGGGGGAGCAAACAGGAUUAGAUACCCUGGUAGUCNACCGCCCUAAACGAUGUCGACUAGGUUGUAGAAAGUUCUGACACUGUUUACAGCCCNAAGCAAAAGUNUUUAANUUCNACCCGCCUGGGGGAGUACGGUCCGCCAAGGCU